UGUCCUGGGUAAAGGCUCUCACACUGUAGAACUCAGCUUGUAUCAGCUACAGGUGUAAUUUACCUGCUGUGUUCGACAUUGGAUACGAUAUAGGAAUCAAAGUUAUUCAAACUUUUUUUUAUGACUACAAGAUAGCAACUCCGAAGAGAAAGAUACGACUGCAUCAAUACUGAGAUUUGAAAGCACACCUGACUAAACAAGACUGAAGUAAACUGCUCCCUUCAGACACAAUCAGAGCCGUAGAGGAGCUGAAAGCAGAAGGUAUCCCAUUCUUGCAGAACUAUAAGGCCUACAGUGAAAGCAAGAGCCCAGUGCACACUGCCGGAUCCAGAGAGGGUUUCAGGAGGACGGAUCCAUGUGGCUAAGCACCUUGACAACCUGUGGCAAAAAUGUGUGUUUGCUCAAUAGAUGAUUUUACCCACACACCGCUACUGCUCUGGACCCCAAGACUGGCCACCCAUCUCUGAUCUUGUCGAGGAUUUGACAAGUGUGAGACUUGGGCAUGGGACAUAUCAGCUUCCUGACAACGCAGAAUGGUUCUGGGCUCUGAGGGCUUUAAACUCAGGGACAAACAACUUAGAUGUUGAGGUUGAGGACAGUAUAUGCUGGUUCCUGGGUGUGAUCACAGAGUCUGCCCCGAGGAAAGGAGUCAUACCCAGUGGAUUCGUGUUUAUAUUGUAAUGGAGCUUAUUCUGACUACUCAGAAGAAUCCCCACCAAAGCCAGACAGASACCACAGAGGAUCAGAGUGCAGCUGGACAGGGACAGAAGAAAGACCCUAUAAAUAACACACACCGACACACAUUCACAGGAACUUUAACUGAGACAGUCUUUCCCUGCUUUUCUCAUUUCUGUGAAUGCCAGUCUUUAAAGAUCUUGCCAUGGCAUCUAUAAAAGAACAGCAGAAAGAGCGGAUAAUGUCUCUUACUAGUUGUAUUUAUUUGAACUUCAUGCUAAAAUUGUUGAUAGUACAAGAGUUGCCACCUUGUCCAGUUUUAGUGGAAUAUUCCGUUUUUUCUCCUAUCUUGCUGACCAAUUACAUGGAAAUACAAAACCAUACUGUAACUGCUAUUCCUUAUUCCACGACUAGAGCAAAUAACGUUUUUUUCUUUUCUUCCGCCUAUCAAUGGAACAGCAGUAUAUGGUAAUGUAUCUUACCAAAGCAUUACACCAACCUACAAUCCUAACCCACUAUGACAACCCCAUUAUUUAAUGUUCUCUCAAUAGUGAAACAGAACUGUUGCAAGCAUACAAUGUUUCUUCAGAAGUGCUGUGGUGUAGGUASAUUAUGUAGAUACAGCCUGUAGAGGGAGAUGGAGUCCCAGGCCAGGGGUCAGAGCCAAUAGCACAGAAGUAAUCAAUGCUUAACAAACUUUUUUUAUCAUGUGGUCAAUAUACACAAAUAUACAUUCUCCAAGUUGAAGAAUCUCAACAAUGUUAAGGAUUUGAGGCAAACAAUUGCAUAAGACAAGAAAUAAGGGUCCGUCUUUCUAAUAUGAAAAUGGAUAGUACAUUUACUAAUUGUAUCAUAUUACCAAUGGUUGAAAAAGUACUUAAUUGUCAUACUUGAGUAAAAUUAAAGAUACCUUGAUAGAAAAUUACUCAAGUAAAAGUGACAG
Molecule: long non-coding RNA, 1618 nt
Organism: Salvelinus sp. IW2-2015
Lineage: Eukaryota; Metazoa; Chordata; Actinopteri; Salmoniformes; Salmonidae
Source: RefSeq, a predicted model, not a curated record